AGUAUUAGUUAUAUUCUUAAAAUUUAAAAAAUUUGGCGGUGUUUUAGUCUAUUUAGAGGAAUCUGUCCUGUAAUUGAUAAUUCACAUUGAACCUUACUUAAAUUUAUUUAAUUUGUAUAUCGCCGUCAUCAGAAUAUGUUAUAAGAUUAAUAAUUUCUAAAAUUUAUUAAAUAAAAUGUCAGGUCAAGGUGCAG
Molecule: ribosomal RNA, 194 nt
Filed under: Aedes w-albus
Lineage: Eukaryota; Metazoa; Arthropoda; Insecta; Diptera; Culicidae
Description: partial 12S ribosomal RNA
Source: RNAcentral